Molecule: ribosomal RNA, 253 nt
Filed under: uncultured bacterium
Lineage: Bacteria
Description: partial 16S ribosomal RNA
Rfam family: Bacterial small subunit ribosomal RNA
Source: RNAcentral
UACGGAGGGUGCAAGCGUUAUCCGGAUUCACUGGGGUUAAAGGGUGCGUAGGUGGGCAGGUAAGUCAGUGGUGAAAUCUUUGGGCUUAACCCGAAAACUGCCAUUGAUACUAUUAGUCUUGAAUAUUGUGGAGGUAAGCGGAAUAUGUCAUGUAGCGGUGAAAUGCUUAGAUAUGACAUAGAACACCGAUAGCGAAGGCAGCUUGCUACACAAUCAUUGACACUGAGGCACGAAAGCGUGGGGAUCAAACAGG